ACACAGAGGGGAGUGGAAGGAGUUGCUGUUUCUUGGGGUCAUUUUCAAGAUACCGGUGGGGAUUUCUGACACUGACAGAAAUCUUAACAUGGCGGGUUCCUCUUUAAAACAUUGCUGUUUCCUAUCAAGAGACCUAAUUUCUUCAAAGACUUUCAUCAUGAACUAUUGAGAUACUGGACUCAAAUCGAAACUGAGACUGAGAGCAGAAAUAUCUUCUCCAAAAGUCACUCAAGUAGCCCAUAGAGUUGAAAUUCAACCCCAGGUCUCCUAAAUUCAAAUAGUGUUUUUGAUUCAACAUUGCACUGAACUGAAUUAAAAGGCAUCACAGGUAAUAAAAAUAGCAGUACAACCUU
This is a long non-coding RNA of Monodelphis domestica (gray short-tailed opossum), 353 nucleotides long. RefSeq lists it as uncharacterized. The record is from RefSeq and is a predicted model, not a curated record. NCBI's taxonomy places the organism in Eukaryota, Metazoa, Chordata, Mammalia, Didelphimorphia, Didelphidae.